Molecule: non-coding RNA, 278 nt
Filed under: Aureoumbra lagunensis
Lineage: Eukaryota; Pelagophyceae; Sarcinochrysidales; Sarcinochrysidaceae
Source: RNAcentral
AAAGGAAAGUGAAGUGUGAAAGUCUCAUUUAUCUUUUCAUGGUCAUUUCCCUAUUCAUGUACUUUCGUUCUUCUUUCUUUCUUAUUCUGAAAUUAUUAUUUGAAGUGGGAGUUGGGAGGACCUCCUGUCGCCCACUACAAUAAUUCAUCUCUUUUUCAUGUUGAUCCUAAACUACAAUCUCAAUGAUUCUCAAUCUUUUUCUACUAAGAAUAUGAUAAUGGCGGCUCCUACUUUCCAGCAGCCAGAAAAGUAAAAAAAUUGAAGUGACGGCGUUCCUU